GACAGAGGGUGCAAACGUUGUUCGGAAUUACUGGGCGUAAAGCGCGCGUAGGCGGUUCGUUAAGUCGGAUGUGAAAGCCCUGGGCUUAACCCAGGAAGUGCAUUCGAAACUCACGAGCUUGAGUCCCGGAGAGGAAGGCGGAAUUCUCGGUGUAGAGGUGAAAUUCGUAGAUAUCGAGAGGAACAUCUGUGGCGAAGGCGGCCUUCUGGACGGUGACUGACGCUGAGACGCGAAAGCGUGGGGAGCAAACAGG
RNAcentral lists this ribosomal RNA (253 nucleotides) under uncultured bacterium. Its description in RNAcentral is "partial 16S ribosomal RNA". It matches the Rfam family "Bacterial small subunit ribosomal RNA", at positions 524 to 776 of the family's 1533-position model. The record is from RNAcentral.